UGGGGAGGGUGAUUUUGGUUUACUUGCUUGAAUUUUUUACUUUAUUAUUUAUUUUACCUUAUGGGACAUAUGAACUAUAUUUCCAAUGGUCUAUCUUGUAUAAAUAUUGUUACAGAGGGUAGGGGUUAAGUUUUGUGCCAGCAGCCGCGGUCAUACUCUUCCUAUUAAAUUGCAUAUAGCUAUAAGAGAGACCUUCUUGAAAUCUCCUUUAGUGGGUGAAAUCUUUAAAGGAAAUUAUUUUAAGCUUGAGUAGUUGUAACUGGUGUGGGGACCAGGAUUAGAUACCCUGUUACCCUAGGUCUAUUUUUAAGUAGUACUUGAUUAUCAAUAAACUUAAUCAUUCUGGCGGCUCACUAUUUCAACAGAGGAGCUUGUCGGGUUUGAUCGAUACCCCCCUUUUAUACGUACCUUUUUUAUUUUUAUGUACGGCUGUUUAGCUUUAAAUUAAAUUUUAUUACAUUAAUAUUUUUUGUGGUUAAUUCAGGUCAAUGUGUAGAUUAUAA
RNAcentral lists this ribosomal RNA (503 nucleotides) under Gohieria fusca. Its description in RNAcentral is "12S ribosomal RNA". Lineage: Eukaryota; Metazoa; Arthropoda; Arachnida; Sarcoptiformes; Glycyphagidae. The record is from RNAcentral.